Long non-coding RNA from Microtus ochrogaster (prairie vole), 1634 nucleotides. RefSeq lists it as uncharacterized. Lineage: Eukaryota; Metazoa; Chordata; Mammalia; Rodentia; Cricetidae. The transcript has 3 exons. The record is from RefSeq and is a predicted model, not a curated record.
CAGGUGCUCUCCAGCCUCGAGAUCUUGUUGCCUCUGGAAUUGUGAAGUUUGAACAUACAAUUCAAGUUUAGAUCUGAGCACAGCGUCAGAAGCAGGCUGCUGAGGAGACAGAGGGAAGCACAAUGGCUGUUCUUGGUUGCUGGCUUGAGUCCAGAAAUGGAGGACACAGCUGUCAGAGCUUUCUGCUUGGUUUGAAGAGGGAAUCCAGACCUUCGAGUGGGAGGACACGGGCCUGUGAUCCGGACCUUGAGGGGAGAAGGCACACCUUUAAUCUGGGCCAGACCUCCUACUGAUAUAAGGAAUAGCAGAAGGAAGCUUCUCUCUUGCCUUGCCAGCACGCCCAUCCCUUCACUGACAUUGGAGCCUAUGUCUUUGGGACUCCAGCAUAUACUGAAGACCAGCCGAGACAUCCAGCACUGUGGACUGAGCAACUAUUGGAUUCUGAAACUUUGUGUGUUCACAGCCAUUGUAACAGACUGCAGCCUGUAAGAUGUUUCAGUAAACCCCCUUUAUAUACAUAGAAAGAGAUUCAUUCUAGAUGUUCUGUUACUCUAAAGAACCCUGACUAAUAAAUACAGGAAACAAAGCAAGUAACUCCAAAAGUUGGUUUUACAUUCUCAGAAGAAAUAAGGCAGUUAGGUAGAGCUCAGUAAAGCUGAUCCUCAGGUAUGCACUCCUCGUCUAUGGGUAGAGAGGGCAUUUCAACAUGCAGCUUGCCUGCAAAGAGCAGAUAAUGUUCUCGACAGUUUUUAUAACACAAUCUAGCAUUUCAGGGAAAUCUACAAAUGUGCCAAAUAAUCAGAUUUCCCAUAGUAACUCAAAUAUGUGUCUUUGACCUACAUUAGGGCCAGUGACAAGAGGUCACUGUGUCUGUACAUGUAACUUAGUACUCAAAAAGCUGAGGCAGCCUGUGCUUCAUAGCAAGAUCCUAUCUCAAAAAUUUUUCUUUUGACAUUUGCAGACCAAAACCAAACAAAUGAACAAAAAAACUUCUUGGUGUAUAUAUGAUAUUUAUGAUAAAAAAACAGAACUAUAUAUAGAUGAUUGAGAUUAUAAAAACUCCUAAAAUAUUUCUGGUAACAAGGAAGGUCGCAUGGAUUAUUAGUUAAAAGUAUAUCAAACAUUGCUAACUUAAGAUAUGUAACUAUCUCAUCAUCUAUAAUUCUAUUUUGGAAAUGUGAAAAAUACAGACUAUCUAACUUUUGAGGUUUGUCAGAGGCCUACUUUUGUUGAGAAGAUGCUGUCAUGUUUGUGAGGACAGUUGUCUAUGUUGUAGAUGUUCUGGGAAGAGAGGUGCAGUUCUCUGGAACUGGGCGGUCACUUUAUAUGGCCUGAGUCAGAGGGUGUGAGACUAUCAGAAAUUGUUAAAUGUGAUUGAACUUUUUAAUGGCCAAGGCCCUAGGUGUGAUCUAUAGACAAAACACAACAGAACCAUAACAGGUUUAAAAACUACUGAACAAAUAAAUACUCAUGAAAUGCCCUGAGACCAUCAACAGUGAGAAGAUGCUCUGGGGCUUGGCCAAGAGAGCUUUGCUGUGGCAAGUGGUGAGUGGAGCUGCCAAGAGCCAAUGCUAUUAAAACCUUUUCUCCUCCUCUUCUUCUUUUCUUCUUCUCCCUCCUCCUCUUCCUCCUCU